CAGAUUCUUCCUUCCAUGAUCUCUGUGAAGUAUGCGACUUAACAAACCCAUAAGUCUCGUCACUAAAGACUUUUCUUUCUUCCACUCUCUACUGAAAUCUUGUGUUCAUGGUGACAACUCUUCUUCUCCAAUCACAAUCUUCCGUGACUUACUUCGUUCCUCUCUCACACCAAAUCAUUUCACAAUGUCUAUCCUUCUCCAAGCCUCUACCGCCUCUGUCGAUUCGUUGAAGCUAGUCCAAACCCAUAUCACAAAAUCAGGUAUUGAUCGGUUCAUUUACGUGAAAACAUCUCUUCUCGAUAUAUACUUGAAGAUGGGUUUUGUAAAAACUGCACGAAAGUUGUUUGAUGAAAUGCCUGAGAGAGAUACCGUUGCUUGGAACGCGUUGAUCUGUGGGUAUUCACGGAAUGGCUACGAAUUUGACGCGUGGAAGCUCUUUAUCGUAAUGGUUCAACAAGGGUUUUCUCCGUCUGCAACCACGCUUGUAAAUUUGCUGCCUUUUUGUGGACAAUGUGGAUUCGUUUCUCAUGGGAAGUCCGUUCAUGGUAUUGCUACAAAGUCUGGCCUGGAACUGGAUUCUCAUGUGAAGAACGCGUUGAUUUCGUUUUAUUCAAAGUGUGCAGAGUUGGAUUCAGCAGAAGUCUUAUUCACAGAAAUGGAAGACAGAAGCACUGUUUCUUGGAAUACAAUGAUUGGUGCUUAUAGCCAGAGUGCUCUCCAGGAAGAGGCCUUUGCUGUUUUCAGGGAUAUGUUUGAGAAGCGCGUGGAGAUAAGUCCGGUCACUGUCAUCAAUCUUCUCUCUGGUCGUGUUAGUCACGAGUCAUUGCAUUGUCUUGUUGUUAAAACUGGAAUGGUGAACGAUAACUCUGUGAUUACUUCUUUGAUCUGUGCGUAUUCGAGGUGUGGGUAUUUGGAUUCAGCAGAACGUCUUUAUGCGUCUGGUGCUCAAGAUAGUAUCGUUGGCCUAACUUCGAUCGUUUCAAGUUACGCAGAGAAAGGAGAUAUUGACGUCGUGGUUGCGUAUUUCUCUAAAAUGCGCCAGCUUUGUAUGAGAGUUGAUGCUGUAGCUUUGGUAGAAAUUCUCCAUGGAUGCACAAACUCUUCCCACAUCGACAUUGGAAUGUCGUUUCAUGCUUAUGCGAUCAAAAGCGGAUUGUGCACACAAACGCUGGUUGCGAAUGGACUGAUGACCAUGUACUCUAAGUUUGAUGAUGUGGAGACUGUCUUGUUUUUAUUUGAGCAGCUGCAGGAGACUCCUCUAAUUAGCUGGAACUCAGUGAUAUCGGGAUGUGUACAGUCGGGAAAGGCAAGCGUAGCCUUUGAGGUCUUCCGUCAGAUGAAGUUGAUUAGUGGACCUGAGCCGGAUGCAAUUACAAUAGCAAGUUUGCUUGCUGGCUGCUCUCAGCUAUGUUGCUUAAAUUUGGGGAGGAAACUUCACGGUUAUAUUCUUAGGAACAAUUUUGAAAAUGAGAACUUUGUUUGUACAGCUCUUAUAGACAUGUAUGCUAAAUGUGGAAAUUCAGAACUAGCAGAAGAUGUGUUCAAGACCAUAAAAGCUCCGUGCACAGCAACAUGGAACUCAAUGAUAUCAGGAUUCAGCUUAUCGGGGUUACAAAGUCGCGCACUUUCUUGUUACUUGGAAAUGCGAAAGCAGGGAUCGAAACCUGACAAGAUCACCUUUUUGGGGGUUCUGUCUGCAUGUGCACAUGGAGGCCUUGUCGAUGAAGGAAACAUAUGUUUCAGAGAAAUGGUCAAGGUGUUUGGCAUAUCGCCAAGUUUACAGCAUUAUGCACUUAUGGUUGGUUUGUUGGGUCGAGCAUGUUUGUAUACCGAGGCAUUGACGUUGAUUUGGAAGAUGGAUAUAAAGCCGGAUUCUGCAGUAUGGGGUGCUCUGCUUAGUGCAUGCACUGUGAACAGAGAGAUCGAGCUUGGGGAAUAUGUAGCUAAGAAAAUGUUUAUGUUGGAUUACAGAAAUGGAGGGCUAUAUGUAUUGAUGUCAAACCUAUAUGCAACAGAGGAAAUGUGGGACGACGUCGUCAGAGUUAGGAAGAUGAUGAAAGAUAAUGGCUAUGAUGGUUACUUGGGAGUUAGUCAAACAGAAUAGUUUCAUCAUGAGAAACAACAAACAGAGCGGACAUUCAUUGUGUUGGACAAGGAUUUCAUAGAGGGAGAAUUGGCUCAUGGUGAAUCUCGGGUAGAAGCCAUGACGGGUGAUGUGAACAUUUACAUGAACGAUGUAGAUGAUCCUAAGGUUGUAGAGGUUGAAAUAAUGAUAGCUGAGCCUAGAAGAGUAGCCGUGCUAAAGGAUUAGGAAAGGAAUCGGUCUUGAUGAUGAUGGCUUAUGCUGUCACGAACUUGGAGAUUCACACGUUUUACAGCCAAGAUUGGGGAAUCAAACACAGUUUCUCUCAGCUUAUUCCGCAAACGGGGUUUUGAGGAGUCUUCUUACCAAGUUUCUUAAGUCUUCCAAACCGGGCAGGUUACACUGGAGUACACGGUGACAACUCU
Molecule: RNA transcript, 2508 nt
Organism: Eutrema salsugineum
Lineage: Eukaryota; Viridiplantae; Streptophyta; Magnoliopsida; Brassicales; Brassicaceae
Gene name: pentatricopeptide repeat-containing protein At2g04860
Exons: 5
Source: RefSeq, a predicted model, not a curated record